GAUGAAGAACGUAGUGAAAUGCGAUAAGUAAUGUGAAUUGCAGAAUUCAGUGAAUCAUCGAAUCUUUGAACGCACAUUGCGCCCGUCAGUAUUCUGGCGGGCAUGCCUGUUCGAGCGUCAUUACGCCCCUCAAGUCCCCUGUGGACUUGGUGUUGGGGAUCGGCGAGGCUGGUUUUCCAGCACAGCCGUCCCUUAAAUUAAUUGGCGGUCUCGCCGUGGCCCUCCUCUGCGCAGUAGUAAAACACUCGCAACAGGAGCCCGGCGCGGUCCACUGCCGUAAAACCCCCCAACUUUUUAUAGUUGACCUCGAAUCAGGUAGGACUACCCGCUGAACUUAAGCAUAUCAAAAGCGGAGGA
RNAcentral lists this unclassified non-coding RNA (357 nucleotides) under soil metagenome. RNAcentral's name for it is "partial contains 5.8S ribosomal RNA, internal transcribed spacer 2, and large subunit ribosomal RNA". The stretch from base 1 to 120 matches the Rfam family "5.8S ribosomal RNA", at positions 35 to 154 of the family's 154-position model. The record is from RNAcentral.